Long non-coding RNA from Sapajus apella (tufted capuchin), 1103 nucleotides. RefSeq lists it as uncharacterized. The record is from RefSeq and is a predicted model, not a curated record. NCBI's taxonomy places the organism in Eukaryota, Metazoa, Chordata, Mammalia, Primates, Cebidae. The transcript is spliced from 4 exons.
AAAAGCAGGGAAGAAAAGUGAUUCCCCUAGCAUGCACAUUCUCUUUGCAGCACUGGAGAAGAAUUCUCAAAAGGUUAACAGUCCCUAUCGAAAUCUGACAUGGCACAUCUUUUUUUUUUUUUUCUGCUACAGCAGGAGAAACGUGCUACAGGCAUCUGUCACCAAGGCCAGAGCAACUUCCCAGUGUGGCAACUGUACAGACAGCUUCAGAAUGAGAUUUUAGAAAUUACAAAAUUCUUCAAGAAGAAAAGACGUCUUCAUAGAAGAAAAGGCAAGAGAAGCCUACAAAAGUAAUAUAAAGCAUUCCUCUUUGCACCCCAUAAAAAUCCAUUCCCUGAUCCCUCUUGGUUGAUAGAAGAGGAAAUAUAAUACUGACAAAAAUACAACUUCUGACAAGAUAUUUUAUUUGGCUUACCUCUCCCCCAGGUCUUGCUAACACUGCUGUUUGAACGUGGAGCAAUGUUAAUAUCAGGUAGCUGACAAACAUUAUUACCCAAAGUUAGAACUACCCUAGAGGAGAACUCCGUCUGCCAAGUGCUAACAGCUAGCAGAUGCACUUGUGUCUCGGGAUUCCAGCCCUGGAGUUCCGCUAGGCACCGCGCUGGUUCCCUCGGCUCUCCCUCACUGUACUACCCGGCGCUUCGAGCUCAGCCUCUGCUCUGAAGAAAACUGAGUCUGGAGGAAUACAAACCCCAGCCAGAGGAUGUCUCUAUCAUUCCUACCCAGGUAGGGACUUCUACUCUUGGAAAAAUGCCUCCCUUUUUCUGAGAAACAGAGCAGAUCAUCACAUCACUUUCCUGAGAACAGUGGAUCCUAUAUUUAAUGGUUUAAAGCUGACAGAUGAAAGAUUCCAAGCUUUAUCUUCUCUUCCAGGACACCACCUGUAUCCCAUUUCAGUGGAGAGUGCAUACUUCAUUCAGAAAUGCUAACCAUGACUAAGCAUUCAGCUUCCCUGUUUCCUGUGGUCCAUGCCCCAGAGUGUCUUCACUUGAUCAAAAACCCUUGGCGGGCCCAGGAUAAGGGCUCCAUCAUAAAAGCUAGGGCUCUGACUAUAGGCUUGAUUUGGGGUAUUUACACAGAGCAUGUGUCCUAGGUCAUUACAU